RNAcentral lists this ribosomal RNA (326 nucleotides) under Veronaea botryosa. RNAcentral describes it as "eukaryotic LSU rRNA". The stretch from base 1 to 68 matches the Rfam family "5.8S ribosomal RNA", at positions 87 to 154 of the family's 154-position model. The record is from RNAcentral. Lineage: Eukaryota; Fungi; Ascomycota; Eurotiomycetes; Chaetothyriales; Herpotrichiellaceae.
AAUCAUCGAAUCUUUGAACGCACAUUGCGCCCUUUGGUAUUCCGAAGGGCAUGCCUGUUCGAGCGUCAUUAUCACCCCUCAAGCCCCCGGGCUUGGUGUUGGACGGUUUGGUGGAGGCCCCCCUCGUCGGGGUCGCUGCCCCUCCCAAAGACAAUGACGGCGGCCUCGUUGGACCCCCGGUACACUGAGUUCUUCACGGGACACGUACUGGACACAAGGGUGCGCGGGGCACGGUCUGCCUCCCCUCUAGGGAGAAUUAUCUCAAGGUUGACCUCGGAUCAGGUAGGGAUACCCGCUGAACUUAAGCAUAUCAAUAAGCGGAGGAA